This 242-nucleotide unclassified non-coding RNA is filed under the name uncultured fungus. Its description in RNAcentral is "sequence contains ITS2". The record is from RNAcentral. Lineage: Eukaryota; Fungi.
AACGCACAUUGCGCCCUUCGGUAUUCCGUUGGGCAUGCCUGUUCGAGCGUCAUUAGAAACUUCAAGCUCAGCUUGGUGUUGGGUGCUUGUCCCCCCCCGCGGUGGACUCACCUCAAAUGCAUUGGCGGCCGGUAUGUUGGCUACAGCGCAGUACAACGCGUCUGGCGUCUUGAUAUACUGGUCCUCCAGAAGCUCUUCUUUGACUUGACCUCGGAUCAGGUAGGGAUACCCGCUGAACUUAA